Long non-coding RNA from Phyllostomus discolor (pale spear-nosed bat), 171 nucleotides. RefSeq lists it as uncharacterized. Lineage: Eukaryota; Metazoa; Chordata; Mammalia; Chiroptera; Phyllostomidae. The record is from RefSeq and is a predicted model, not a curated record. The transcript is spliced from 3 exons.
GUGUAUGUAUUAUUAAUUAAGUCCUUUUGAUCUAAUGUGUUGUUCAGCUCCACAAUAUCCUUGUUGAUACUUUGUCUGGGAGAUCUAUCCAUUGUUGACAGUGGGGUGUUAAAAUCCCCUACUAUAAUUGUGUUGCUGUGUAUAUCUUUCUUGAAGUCCUCCAAGAUUUUU